RNAcentral lists this ribosomal RNA (404 nucleotides) under uncultured prokaryote. RNAcentral's name for it is "bacterial SSU rRNA". It matches the Rfam family "Bacterial small subunit ribosomal RNA", at positions 355 to 774 of the family's 1533-position model. The record is from RNAcentral.
UGGGGAAUAUUGCACAAUGGGCGAAAGCCUGAUGCAGCAACGCCGCGUGAGCGAUGAAGGCCUUUGGGUCGUAAAGCUCUGUCCUUGGGGAAGAAAAAAAUGACGGUACCCUUGGAGGAAGCCCCGGCUAACUACGUGCCAGCAGCCGCGGUAAUACGUAGGGGGCAAGCGUUAUCCGGAAUUAUUGGGCGUAAAGAGUGCGUAGGUGGUUUUGUAAGCGCGGGGUGAAAGGCAAUGGCUCAACUAUUGUAAGCCCUGUGAACUGCAAGACUUGAGUGCAGGAGAGGAAAGCGGAAUUCCUAGUGUAGCGGUGAAAUGCGUAGAUAUUAGGAGGAACACCAGUGGCGAAGGCGGCUUUCUGGACUGUAACUGACACUGAGGCACGAAAGCGUGGGGAGCAAACA